AUUGAACGCUGGCGGCAUGCUUUACACAUGCAAGUCGAACGGUAACAGGUUAAGCUGACGAGUGGCGAACGGGUGAGUAAUGCAUCGGAACGUGCCCGAUCGUGGGGGAUAACACUUCGAAAGAAGUGCUAAUACCGCAUACGAUCUGAGGAUGAAAGCGGGGGACCGUAAGGCCUCGCGCGAUCGGAGCGGCCGAUGUCAGAUUAGGUAGUUGGUGGGGUAAAGGCCUACCAAGCCGACGAUCUGUAGCUGGUCUGAGAGGACGACCAGCCACACUGGGACUGAGACACGGCCCAGACUCCUACGGGAGGCAGCAGUGGGGAAUUUUGGACAAUGGGCGCAAGCCUGAUCCAGCAAUGCCGCGUGCAGGAAGAAGGCCUUCGGGUUGUAAACUGCUUUUGUACGGAGCGAAAAGGCUCUCUCUAAUACAGGGGGCUGAUGACGGUACCGUAAGAAUAAGCACCGGCUAACUACGUGCCAGCCGCCGCAGUAA
RNAcentral lists this ribosomal RNA (493 nucleotides) under uncultured bacterium. RNAcentral describes it as "partial 16S ribosomal RNA". It matches the Rfam family "Bacterial small subunit ribosomal RNA", at positions 30 to 523 of the family's 1533-position model. The record is from RNAcentral.